RNAcentral lists this ribosomal RNA (301 nucleotides) under uncultured bacterium. Its description in RNAcentral is "partial 16S ribosomal RNA". It matches the Rfam family "Bacterial small subunit ribosomal RNA", at positions 509 to 809 of the family's 1533-position model. The record is from RNAcentral.
CAGCCGCCACGGGAAUACGAAGGGUGCAAGCGUUAAUUGGAAUUACUGGGCGUAAAGCGUGCGUAGGCGGUUUGUUAAGUCUGCUGUGAAAUCCCCGGGCUCAACCUGGGAAUGGCAGUGGAUACUGGCAAGCUAGAGUCUGGCAGAGGGGGGUGGAAUUCCGCGUGUAGCAGUGAAAUGCGUAGAUAUGCGGAGGAACACCGAUGGCGAAGGCAGCCCCCUGGGCCAACACUGACGCUCAUGCACGAAAGCGUGGGGAGCAAACAGGAUUAGAUACCCCAGUAGUCCCUGUCUCUUAUCC